GGCCACAGUCACUUUUGAAAUGUCAAAAUAACUCUCUCGAUGCCAAAUAACUGUUGUUUUAAUAAUAUUUUUACAAUAAUGCUUUGUUAAACGCAUUGAGAUUGAGUUUUUCGCGUAAUUUUGUCAUUAAAUUCAUUUUAUCACAACUCCAUCUGGAAAAACAUUCGCAAUGUUCAAUAACUACACAUACUCCCGACAUUACCAAGUAAAGAACGGCUACCGUUGGAAAUGCUCGAAGCAGUUCUCUCAAUCCUGUCGAGCCUUCUUGGUCAUCAGCGAUAAUGGUUUCUUAAUAAAGAAUUUUUCCGUACAUUGCCAUGGACCUUCCAAGUUCCAUUGUAGCAGUGAUGGCAGUUACAUUAAAAUUUAGUUAAUAAUUAUUAGAAAUUAAAAUGAAUCUCAUCUUAUCUCGACUAUUUAAUUCUAAAAUAAUAUAAAAUAAAAGCAUCUUUAGUAAAACAUUAUCAACUUGGUUUUGAUUGUCUUAGAUCUCUCAUUUUACUUACAGUUACAACUAGACUUUUUAAUGCUCUGAUAGAUAUUUUGAGAAAUAUUGACCAAAACUUUAAUAUUAUUAUUAAACUCAAAAAAAAUAAGAAUGAAUUUUAUAUUAAUGUAUUAUUAUUCAUGUUAAUCUAUUAUUGUAUAUUUGAUAAGAAAGACGUAAAGGUAAAAAACAGGACGUGGAAAGAAACAAGACAAAGAAGGUAAGAUAAAUAAUUUCAUCAUUGUUAAAUUUAUGUACACUGAUGUAACUUUGUAUAAAAUUUUCAGUUUUACUGGUUAAGGGUCGAAAUGGAAAAGAUCUCCUAAUGUUGAAUGGAUACACAUAUUAUCAGCAUAAACUUCUGCGCGACGGUUUUCGGUGGAGCUGCACUCAGAUGGGUUCCAGAUCUUGUAGAGGUUUUCUGCACGUCACGAAGAAAAUGUUAGUUGUUAGAGCUCAGACUGAGCACACUCAUCCACCGUCCACAUAUUUUUUAGAAUACAUCAAAAACCAGUCUUCAAAAGAGGACGAUAUCAGAAAAAGUGCUUCUGAAAAAGACGCUUCCAAUUUAUCGUUAAAAAUUGCAAGCAUACACAGCCGUGUUGGAUUUUAGUAAAAUUUUUAUGUCUUAUCGUUGGAAUUUUAUCUUCGCCCCAAUGGACGGAUUAACUUACGCCUGAAUAACUUCACAUUUUACAAGCACUUGAAGGCAAGAAGCAACGCUCACAGAUGGAGCUGCACCGCUUAUGGUUCGAAAUGGAAAUGCAAGGCGCAUCUUAUAAUCACAGAUAAGUUGGAAGUUCUGAAAGCAAACGUAUCACACAGUCAUCCGCCAAGCGUCAAGAAAGAAACACGACAGCAAAUUAAUCAAAAUCUUACCUGGAAUGGUACCGGAUAUAAUAAAGAGAAUGGUACACCAGUUCUACCUCCAGAACCGCCUUCUAUUACGCCUCUGCAUGAUUAUUUAGUUGCACACAGUGUGUUUAGCAACUAUUAAUCGCGUAGAAGUUGUGUACGUUGUGACGUACUGGUCACUUGGCUGGUUUUUAUAUUUUUUAAUUAUUAUCAGAUUGAUUUUAUUUCUUAACAUGUUUGUAAUACUAACUAUAAAUUUUUCUUUGAUAAACUAAAUGUCAGGUGUUCGUGAUAAUUUUAUUGGUAUAUUUUAAUAAUAAGACUAAAGAACGCUGUUCUAAGAAUACUAAUAAGGCCUAAUUUAGUGUGCUUAUGUAACCAGUAUACUAAUAAAGUAAUAGUUCGCUUAGUGUUGCUCUAAUAUUAAGUAAUAAUAGCAUAUCAUAUUGCUGAUUUUUUUUGUUUUUGAUGUAUUAUUAAGUCACAAUUAACGUUAUUUUUCCGAGAAUAGUAUUUAGUACAUAAGGGGCCUGUUUCAUCGGUUGUGGGUAACGCUCUUUGACGGAAGACGCCAUCGAAUUCAUCCAUAUUUAAGAAAUGUUUCUUUUAGCAAAUAUAUAUAAUAUCUAAAAUUGUAGUUUUUAAAUGAGGAUAAAUGAGGCCUUAUUACCUAUUUUACCUUCAUCUGUUGAAGUCGAUUCGUAACUCAUGUGCAGGAUAAUCAUAAAUCGCAACUAAAGAAAUAGGCCCUGUGUACGCUUUUUUUUUAAUGUACAGCUACAAAAUCGUAGCGGCAUAAUAACAUACUCGUAAGAUUGAUGAAUGACACGGGUAGAUAAAAAAUAUAUGUGUAUCACAAUUUUAAUUCAAUACAAUUCAGCAUAUUGAAAUUUGUGUCAAGUGCCUUAGUUUUAGUUCCAUAGGGUAUUCACUGACUUUAGUUUUAAGAUAUAUUUUUUUUUUUAAUUAUACGUGUGAUAAUUUUUAAUUUUGUGACGUGUCCAGUAUUAAGUAUUGUGAUACAAUGGUAAUAUUAAUGUUUUUAAGACUGCGUGUGUAAUAUGUGAUAAUCAUGUAUCUCAAUGAUUAGAUCUCGUUUUAUUUUUACAGGUGUACUGAUUAUAAUUUCGUGCAUUUAUUCAACUAAUAAGGUCUAUUUUUAUACCUACUAUACCUAUCUAUAUAUGUUAGUAUAGUGACGUACGCUGAAGCUUCUUCGUGUUUUGGCAUUUUAACGCAUUUAAUAAAGUAUUUUAUACUAAAAAUAA
This 2610-nucleotide unclassified non-coding RNA is filed under the name Melitaea cinxia (Glanville fritillary). RNAcentral describes it as "misc RNA ENSMCXG00005020637.1". Lineage: Eukaryota; Metazoa; Arthropoda; Insecta; Lepidoptera; Nymphalidae. The record is from RNAcentral.